GACGAACGCUGGCGGCGUGCCUAAUACAUGCAAGUUGAGCGCUGAAGGUUGGUACUUGUACCAACUGGAUGAGCAGCGAACGGGUGAGUAACGCGUGGGGAAUCUGCCUUUGAGCGGGGGACAACAUUUGGAAACGAAUGCUAAUACCGCAUAAAAACUUUAAACACAAGUUUUAAGUUUGAAAGAUGCAAUUGCAUCACUCAAAGAUGAUCCCGCGUUGUAUUAGCUAGUUGGUGAGGUAAAGGCUCACCAAGGCGAUGAUACAUAGCCGACCUGAGAGGGUGAUCGGCCACAUUGGGACUGAGACACGGCCCAAACGCCUACGGGAGGCAGCAGUAGGGAAUCUUCGGCAAGAGACGAAAGUCUGACCGAGCAACGCCGAGUGAGUGAAGAAGGUUUUCGGAUCGUAAAACUCUGUUGGUAGAGAAGAACGUUGGUGAGAGUGGAAAGCUCAUCAAGUGACGGUAACUAACCAGAAAGGGACGGCUAACUACGUG
RNAcentral lists this ribosomal RNA (497 nucleotides) under uncultured bacterium. Its description in RNAcentral is "partial 16S ribosomal RNA". It matches the Rfam family "Bacterial small subunit ribosomal RNA", at positions 28 to 507 of the family's 1533-position model. The record is from RNAcentral.